RNAcentral lists this microRNA (21 nucleotides) under Oreochromis niloticus (Nile tilapia). RNAcentral's name for it is "oni-miR-10610c". The record is from miRBase by way of RNAcentral. Lineage: Eukaryota; Metazoa; Chordata; Actinopteri; Cichliformes; Cichlidae.
AAAGCAUUGCUCUACCUGCAC